GAUGAACGCUGGCGGCGUGCCUAACACAUGCAAGUCGAACGGAUCCAUAUUGAAACCUAGUGAUGUAUGGAUUAGUGGCGGACGGGUGAGUAACGCGUGGAUAACCUGCCGUAUACAGGGGGAUAACACUUAGAAAUAGGUGCUAAUACCGCAUAAGCGCACGGUUCCGCAUGGAACAGUGUGAAAAACUCCGGUGGUAUACGAUGGAUCCGCGUCUGAUUAGCCAGUUGGCGGGGUAACGGCCCACCAAAGCGACGAUCAGUAGCCGGCCUGAGAGGGUGAACGGCCACAUUGGGACUGAGACACGGCCCAA
This 313-nucleotide ribosomal RNA is filed under the name uncultured bacterium. Its description in RNAcentral is "bacterial SSU rRNA". It matches the Rfam family "Bacterial small subunit ribosomal RNA", at positions 28 to 334 of the family's 1533-position model. The record is from RNAcentral.